UUAUGAAUUGAAAAAUUGCGAAUCGAAGCUUACUUAAGACAGUUUUGUCACAAGUGCUUUGGGGAAAGUCUCCGGUCACUACUGGCGGAAACGCAUCUAGUGUAAAGAGACUAGGUAUUUGUUCUCUGAAAAAGUAAAAAGAAGAUUGAGAUGUGGACUGAGCUGGCGUGCCUGACGAUUUGUUGCCUCCAUAGAGGCUAGACCUGUUCUGAUAUCGUUGAUAUGGCAAACUCGCAGGUGCUCUGGUCGGACUACAUUGCUAUCAGAUCAUCUUUUCUUUUCUCAGGGAAUGAAUCAGACAUAAAAUUUCGACGAUGUAGGAUGUUUUCUACAAACGAUAGUUAUGCAAUUGCCUUCUACAGGUAACCCAAUGGAGCUUAAUCUCGAUUCAGUA
RNAcentral lists this RNase MRP RNA (394 nucleotides) under Sugiyamaella lignohabitans. Its description in RNAcentral is "Candida lignohabitans RNase MRP". It matches the Rfam family "RNase MRP". From Rfam's summary of the family: RNase MRP is an enzymatically active ribonucleoprotein with two distinct roles in eukaryotes. In mitochondria it plays a direct role in the initiation of mitochondrial DNA replication. The record is from Rfam by way of RNAcentral. Lineage: Eukaryota; Fungi; Ascomycota; Dipodascomycetes; Dipodascales; Trichomonascaceae.